CCCCCCAGCAGCUUCCCUGGCCCAUCUGGUUCAACACACAGAGACUGCGACACUCCGGCAGAAAACACUGAAGAUCUUUCAAGUGACUCUGACGAAUCGGAAGAUGGUUGUG
Rhipicephalus sanguineus (brown dog tick) is the source of this 112-nucleotide long non-coding RNA. RefSeq lists it as uncharacterized. The record is from RefSeq and is a predicted model, not a curated record. The transcript has 3 exons. Lineage: Eukaryota; Metazoa; Arthropoda; Arachnida; Ixodida; Ixodidae.